This 446-nucleotide ribosomal RNA is filed under the name uncultured bacterium. RNAcentral describes it as "partial 16S ribosomal RNA". It matches the Rfam family "Bacterial small subunit ribosomal RNA", at positions 338 to 795 of the family's 1533-position model. The record is from RNAcentral.
CCUACGGGUGGCAGCAGUCGAGAAUCAUUCACAAUGGAGGAAACCCUGAUGGUGCGACGCCGCGUGGGGGAAUGAAGGUCUUCGGAUUGUAAACCCCUGUCAUGUGGGAGCAAAUUAAAAAGAUAGUACCACAAGAGGAAGAGACGGCUAACUCUGUGCCAGCAGCCGCGGUAAUACAGAGGUCUCAAGCGUUGUUCGGAAUCACUGGGCGUAAAGCGUGCGUAGGCUGUUGCGUAAGUCGUGUGUGAAAGGCGCGGGCUCAACCCGCGGACGGCACAUGAUACUGCGAGACUAGAGUAAUGGAGGGGGAACCGGAAUUCUCGGUGUAGCAGUGAAAUGCGUAGAUAUCGAGAGGAACACUCGUGGCGAAGGCGGGUUACUGGACAUUAACUGACGCUGAGGCACGAAGGCCAGGGGAGCGAAAGGGAUUAGAUACCCCGGUAGUC